Molecule: transfer RNA, 85 nt
Filed under: Croceicoccus sp. YJ47
Lineage: Bacteria; Pseudomonadati; Pseudomonadota; Alphaproteobacteria; Sphingomonadales; Erythrobacteraceae
Description: tRNA-Leu
Rfam family: tRNA
About the family: Transfer RNA (tRNA) molecules are approximately 80 nucleotides in length. Their secondary structure includes four short double-helical elements and three loops (D, anti-codon, and T loops).
Source: RNAcentral
GCGGGCGUGGCGGAAUGGUAGACGCCGGGGACUUAAAAUCCCCUGAGCUGUGCUCGUGCGGGUUCGAGUCCCGCCGCCCGCACCA